Molecule: long non-coding RNA, 814 nt
Organism: Bos taurus (domestic cattle)
Lineage: Eukaryota; Metazoa; Chordata; Mammalia; Artiodactyla; Bovidae
Source: Ensembl
AGGUUAAGUAACUCACGAAAGGACACACAGCUGGAGACAAGCAGGAGGAAGCUUUGCCCCCCGGCCGCCUCAUUGCGUGCUUCCCCACCACUCCACCUGGGCUACCACACUGAUGAGGGCCUGGCCCCCUGUCAGCAUUCUGUGGAGGUUGCUCACUUUCUGGUGGUCCUGCGACCUGCUCUUCCCACCUUAACAACUUGCCAGCCUCCCUCCCUGCCCUCCCUAUUACAGUACCUUCCAGCUCGGCCCCUCCUCCCACCCUCAGUCCAACGCCAAGUCCUGCCCUCCUCCGACUUCCAUGGCAAUGAACAGAGUCAUCACAACCGGUCCACAGGUCGACACCACAGUUGGAGCCAACUUGGCUCCUAGGGGAAAGAGACCAGGCCUAAGUUCAAGCCUGUGAUGGUCUGAAAAAGCACAGCCUCUCCCCUCACAACGUCCUCUAACAGAAAAGCCUCCUGCAGGACAUGACAGCUGGGCAGAAGGAGGCUGGGAAUGGGGCAGGAGAAAACCACAGCGGGACAGAGUGUGAGAAUGGAUCAUCACACAGUGCAGGCCUAUGGAGACAAAUCCAAGCUGAGGCUCAAGGAAAAGAAACACAAAUUGGAAAUCAGGCCUGAGACCUGAUCAUGCAUGAGGACGUCCUUGUCACGUGACCAGACUGGGACCGGCCCCGCCCCCGCCCCCCCCCCCCCACCAACACACACACAUGCCUUCUCUGUCCAUGUUAAGACCUGAUAACCUCCAAUUCCUUCUCUUCCCCUGGGCUUGGCCCCUCUGACUCAAUGGAUUCUCUGGGAAUCCUGGAUAAUAC